CGGACAGAUUUACAACCUGAGAGUCAGCAGAUACUGAAAUACUGUGAAGUCUCAAGAACAAUAUGUACAUAUAACAAUGACACUUAUGAUCAUUUAAGAGUUUUAAUAUUAGAAGAAGACUAAAUGAAUUUUAGCUGAGUUGGAAGAAUCAGCUGGACACAUCAUCACAUUUAUAAUUCGUGCUGUGAAUUCUGGUUUCAGAGAUAAAUGUAAAUGUAAAGAUUUGCAUGAAUGAGCAGGAAGCCCUGCAGCAGACUCACAGACGGAUGCAGAGGGGAGGAGUGUGGAGGUGUGUGCUGUGUGUUUGGAGGAGGGACUCCUUCAGUUAGAGAAGUGAGGCGUCACAAGUUCCUGGUUUCCAGUGAAGAAGAAGAGAGGCAGCAGUAAACCAUCAGAGCCUCAUCAUGAAAGUCCAUCACACUCUGAUCUGCUUCUUCUUCCUUUCUCUGCAGGAUGGAAACGCUGAAGUCAGCAUCAACAACAACAUUUCCUUUGGAGUCGUUGGAAGAAAUCUAACAGCUGAAUUCUCCUUUUCUGCUGGAACAUGGAAAAUGUUCUGCAGAGGAGAAUGUAAAGGAGGAAACAUUCUUAUUAAUACAACAGAUGAGAAGCAUCAAAGUCACAGAUACAGCACUGGAUAUGUAAUUGUAGAAAGUGCUCCUACUUUGUCUGUGAGCAUCACACAGCUGAUCAUGUCUGAUGCUGGACAGUACAGCUGUGGUGUGGGUGGAUCUCCAUCAUCAGUUUCAUACAGACAGUUUGAAGUUGUUGUUGCUGAAGCACUGCUGGAUGGAAACGAUGAUCCUGCUCAGCUGAAACACUUCAAUAAAGAAACUGGAAGCUCUCUCACAGUCGGAUGUUACUUUGCAGACUCUGGAAGGAGGAAGUACUUCUGCAGGGAAGAAUGUAAAAGAGAUGACAUUUUAAUUGAGACUCAGGGUAGCAGAGCUCAGAGAGACAGAUACAGUGCUGAAUAUGAAGAAGAAUCUGGUACAAGUGGUAUUCUGUAUGUGACCAUUAAACAGCUGAGGGAGUCUGACUCAGGACGGUACAGAUGUUACGUGGACAGAUCCUUUAGUACUGAUCCAUACAGAGAGUUUGAGAUUACUGUCACAGCAGCAGUCCUCCCAUCAGCCCCCACACCUCCAUUAACUUUCACUGGAACCACUGAGCAGUCUGAGAGGACAGCAUCUACAGUCCUCCCAUCAGCCUCCACACCUCCAUCAACUUUCAAUGGAGCCACUGAGCAGUCUGAGAGGACAGCAUCUACAGAUGUGGUGCUGUUUGUGGGUCUGACUCUGGCUGUCAUCAUCAUCCUGUUAUCAGUGUCGGUGCUGAUAUUCUGCAAGUACAGAUCAUCUAAACCAAAGGAUCAUCCUGUGGGAACUGAACGUGAUGCUGUCACAGAGACCAACACAGUGUAUGAGAAUAUCCGAGCAGAGGGCAGACACAGCAGAUCUCCUCCUUACUCUUAUGCCAAAUACACCAAACCGUCUGGAGUUGAAAGCAAUGAUGACCACAGCUUGGUCACUGCAGCCACUUCUCAGCACAGAACUGAAGAUGACUCGAGCAAACUCACCUACUCUGUGGUGAAUUUUUCCAAGAAGAGCAGUGACUCUGCCAACAGCACGUCCUGCAGUAACACCAGUGAAGUUAUCUACUCCGAGCCUCGGGUUAAUGCAAACCACUCCGGAGGUGAUCCAUUGUACUCUACUAUAACCUAGCUUUAGCUCCUGUGCUGGUGGCACAGUUUAUUUCUCACAGUGUUCAAAAUGAAGCAGCGCUUCCAUCAAAAUCUGAAGAUUCAUCCUUCCAUCCAUUUUCUUAUCUGGAGCCUUGUCACAGGGGCCCAGACCCAGAGAAGCCCAGACCUCCCUCUCCCCAGCCGCCUCCUCCACCUUAUCUAGGGGAACACCAAGUUGUUCCCAGGCCAGCUGAGAGAUAUAAUCUCUCCAACGUGUCCUGGGUCUGCCCCGGGGCCUUCUCCCGGUGGGACAUGCCCAGAACACCUCACCCAGGAGGCGCCCGAAGGCAUCCUUAUCCUCCUUUCAAUGUGGAGCCCGUCUUGGAUGGCCAAACUCCUCGCCCCAUCUCUAAGGGAGAGGCCAGCCACCCUUUGGAGGAAACUCAUUUCCCCGCUGUAUCCAUGAUCUUGUUUUCUGAGGUGAGGGUGGGGACAUAGACCAACCUGUAAACUGAGAUCUUUGCUUUUACACUCAGCUCUCUCUUUACUGCAGCCACAGCACCGAUCCAUCUGUCAAUCUCCCCUUACUCAUGAACAAGACAUGAGAUACUUAAACUCCUCCACCUAAGACUGUAAAAUCUAAGAUUCUUUUUUCUUUUAUGUUACAAUUUGAUGUAAUUUGUCUUUAGGUUAGUGUUACAGUCAUUUAAAUUAAGAUCAGAGGUGGUAAGGUUUCUCCACCUAAGCUAAUAAUCCUUAACUAAUAACUGCUUGACCUACGUUUUUAAAGAAUUAUACACAAACAAAAGAAAGAAAGAAACUGGUAAUGAGAUAUUAAUACACAGCUCACCCAGUGUGGAGCCACUGAAUCCAGACUCAUCCGUCGGAUUGGCAGAUGGAGAAGCGUGAACACGUUUCCACUGCUCUAGAUCAGACGGCAGGUUUAAAUAUCACAACUAUAAUAAUCCAUAAUUAUGUGGAUAUGCAUAUCAGAUAGUUUUUAGUGAAAUAUAAGCCCUACAGAAAGGCAGGGAAAGCCCUGUAACUUACUUUAAAACUAAACGGUGGACAGAGCUACAGACCCCUGACAGCCUUACCCAGUUAGCUAGCUGGUAAAAGGACAGGUAAUGUUUGUCAUGCUGUUGCACACACAGCACACUCAUUUGUUUCAGUUCGUCAGUUGCCACAAGACAGCUGACCAACAUGUGCUUGAUAACCUAAGACUGCUGGGUGCUACAGACUACAGUGUACGCUGUACACCAUACUUAAUCGUUUUGCUGCAUCAGUCUGCCUCUGAGUUAAUUUGUGUUUAAGGGUUAGUCCUAUGAUAACAUGCAUGAACUGUAUCUUUAUUCGACCUCGUAUCUCUAUUGUUGUUUAAGACGUGUGUUUUAGGGACUUAAUAAAUGAUUAAACAAUUUCUAAACAAUGAUAUCUUUUGUAGUUUGGAGGCUAAACAGGCCUAAUACACUGAAUAUGUUUUCAGUGGUAGUCGAGCAUCACUUCAGUAAGUAUGUAACAGAAAGAGGAAGCAGCUGCUGGUUUUCUAAAUCUAUUUGACCCAACAUUCAGUGAAGUGAUUAAAAAGAGGAAGUAAGAACUAGUUACCGUAAACAAGCUGUCACACAUGGGUGGACCUCCUUUACUUCAAGCAUGACUCAGUUUUUCUGUCUUUGUGGGGUUGUUUAACCUUUUCAUUUGUAUCAUGAGUAACUUUUGCAGCAUUUUUUAUUUGCAUUUAGUCACAC
Oreochromis niloticus (Nile tilapia) is the source of this 3432-nucleotide long non-coding RNA. NCBI's taxonomy places the organism in Eukaryota, Metazoa, Chordata, Actinopteri, Cichliformes, Cichlidae. The record is from Ensembl.